GUCCACGCCCUAAACGAUGUCAACUAGGUGUUGGGAGGGUAAACCUUUUAGUACCGGAGCUAACGCGUGAAGUUGACCGCCUGGGGAGUACGGCCGCAAGGUUAAAACUACAAAGGAAUUGACGGGGACCCGGCACAAGCGGUGGAUGAUGUGGAUUAAUUUCGAUGCAACGCGAAAAACCUUAACCUACCCUUGACAUGUCCAGAAGCCCUUAGAGAUUUGGGUGUGCCCGAAAGGGAGCUGGAACACAGGUGCUGCAUGGCUGUCGU
Molecule: ribosomal RNA, 269 nt
Filed under: uncultured bacterium
Lineage: Bacteria
Description: partial 16S ribosomal RNA
Rfam family: Bacterial small subunit ribosomal RNA
Source: RNAcentral